RNAcentral lists this unclassified non-coding RNA (321 nucleotides) under Hevea brasiliensis (rubber tree). The record is from RNAcentral. Lineage: Eukaryota; Viridiplantae; Streptophyta; Magnoliopsida; Malpighiales; Euphorbiaceae.
AAUAUCCUAUAAAAUAGGAAGUGAUGACUAAAAUGUAGUAAUACGAGGGUCAACCUUGUGAAAUGUAAUUUUGAACUUGUGAAUCGAGAGAUUAGUAUAUACAAUUUAAUUUACUUAUUUUUGGCUGAUAAAUAUUGAAUUCUACCGAAUUGCGAUUCUACAGUUGGAUCCUCCGCUGUAACUCUGCAAGAGCAUAAUAGAAAUUACGUAUGCUCUGUUCUGGCUAUGUUUCCAGCCAAUUAUUUAGAACAGAGUAGAUCUAACUAUACAUUGGCGAUCCGAUGUGUAGAGUAAUCAGAUUAGUAUAAAAUAAUGUUAAAU